This 52-nucleotide microRNA precursor is filed under the name Otolemur garnettii (small-eared galago). Its description in RNAcentral is "mir-1302 microRNA precursor family". It matches the Rfam family "mir-1302 microRNA precursor family". The record is from Rfam by way of RNAcentral. Lineage: Eukaryota; Metazoa; Chordata; Mammalia; Primates; Galagidae.
UUUUUAGUAUAAGUAUGUUCCGUGCAAUAUGUGGGACAUAAUUGUGCUAAAA